Molecule: ribosomal RNA, 335 nt
Filed under: uncultured eukaryote
Lineage: Eukaryota
Description: SSU rRNA
Rfam family: Eukaryotic small subunit ribosomal RNA
Source: RNAcentral
AUAGCGUAUAUUAAAGUUGUUGCAGUUAAAAAGCUCGUAGUUGGACUUUAGGCAAGGCGGUCUGGUCGCCUACUAGGUGUACUGGGCUCGCCGCGCCUCACCUUCGGGGAACUAGUCGUGCUUCGGUGCGCUAGGGAACCGAGCCUUACUUUGAAGAAAUUAGAGUGUUUAAAGCAGGCUUACGCUUGAAUACAUCAGCAUGGAAUAACAUGAUAGGACUUUGGUUCUAUUUUGUUGGUUUGAGGACCAAAGUAAUGAUUAAUAGGGCCAGUUGGGGGCAUUAGUAUUCUAUAGUCAGAGGUGAAAUUCUUGGAUUUAUAGAAGACUAACUAAUG